Osmia bicornis bicornis is the source of this 1682-nucleotide RNA transcript. RefSeq lists it as uncharacterized. NCBI's taxonomy places the organism in Eukaryota, Metazoa, Arthropoda, Insecta, Hymenoptera, Megachilidae. The record is from RefSeq and is a predicted model, not a curated record. The transcript is spliced from 11 exons.
AAAUCUCGCGUCGCAUCUUCCGUUCCUGCGCAGUUUAUGUUUCAUUGUCUACGCAUGCGUACCCUUUCACUGGCGUAUAUAGUAUCCAUGUUUGGGGAGCCCUUCUUUCUUUUAUUUGUUUUUUAUAGCUAUAUAUACUAUUAUUCUACUGUUUUAUGUCCUCUAGAAUUUUUAUUACACACCCCCUCUAAUUUUAAACAUUUUCUAGUAUUUCCUGCCAGUCUAGCUACUUUUUCUAUUUUUCUCCUAGGUUGCGGGUGCCUGUGAGCCUAACUACUUUACUGUUUUUCGUUUGCGCAUUCCGCUUGCGUCUACUAGGCUCACUUGCGCCCCCAACUUCCUUCUUUUACGGUAUUCCUUCGCGUGCUAGUCUGAUCGUGUUACUUCUUGUCUAUUAAUUAAUUAAUUUAAUAGUUUUUUCACUUACCUUAUAGUUUCUGUUUAUCCUUGCUUUAAUCUAAGUUGCCCGGUGUUGUGUGUAGUGGUGUCUUGUGUAUUGUGUAUACCGGGGGUUCCUUGUUUGUGAUUUUUAUAAUGAAUUGCAGUACUAUUGGUCUGGAGUUAUCGUCUUUAAUAAAGACACCAACGGUCGCAGUCAAACAAAAAUGUCCCGAAACAUCCAUGUCCUGUCAAAGUCUGCGUCAAAUGGAAGUCGAGGUAUUCAGGGCCCCACGUAAUCCAAUCCUUAAUAAUUGGGAUCAAUCUGUACGUCCACCUACCAUUACUGGACAAAUCCCAGGAGUUCCAAUGGCACCUGCCCCGUCAAGACACAGAGGGCAUCGAAGGAUACCGUGCGCCAGUUCCCCAGAUUGGGGCCGCAUACAUUAUUACGGACUCAAUAACCUUGUAGUAAAGUUUUCUGGUGAGCAAAAUUGCCUCUGUUUUAUGGUGUGCAAGCUCGAGUCCUUCGCCGGUAUACCAAACCGACAUCUUCUUCAGAGUGGACUCAGCCAAUCGGAUCAACUUGCAGCUCAUCAUACAGGAUGUUCCACAACAGAGGCCCAAUCACGGAGCCCUGGGGAACCCCCCCGAAAACCUGAAAGCACAUGGCGUCCAAGGUGGAAAGGCCCUUUCGGAAUCCAAAUUGGUUUUGGGCGAAGUCACAAUGGCUUACUGUCAAUUUCCUGUUCAUUACAAUGUUUUUUCCUCGCUCUAAUGUAUCGCCGCCUGGCAACCGAAGCCUCCUUACGCUGUUUGGCAACCUCUUCAUUCCACCAGGGUGCAGGAGGGCCCUUUCUGCGGCUAAUGGUCUUCAGCACCGUACUUUUCUUGAUGAUUUUAUUCAAAUCUGUAAUAAAAUCAUCAACGUCCGCGAUGGAGUUGCGUCUGGUAAGUAUCCCCUGCCUUUCAUUACUAUAUUUUUUUAGAUAUAGGGUGAGGAAUCUCUUCUCGUCUAAUUUGCCUCUUUUUAGGUCAAGAAUCGCAGCGCCUGUUGUCACCUUCGCCUUGCCAGGGGCGCUUAUAACAUGUAACAAGUAUCUGUGAUCGGAAGCCGAAAAAAUGUCCAAAACCUCAGAGUCAGCUAUGAGCUUUACCACCUGUUUACUACAAAGCAUUAUAUCGAUCUUCGAUCCCCCACCACGGUCGCAGGCUUCCACCGCCGUUGUCAGUGUCACCAGGAAGUAUUCGAAUUCCUGGAGGGGCACAUUUGGGGAGGCAUAUACGCUGAAAAUAAACAAUCC